RNAcentral lists this ribosomal RNA (495 nucleotides) under uncultured bacterium. RNAcentral's name for it is "partial 16S ribosomal RNA". It matches the Rfam family "Bacterial small subunit ribosomal RNA", at positions 28 to 523 of the family's 1533-position model. The record is from RNAcentral.
GACGAACGCUGGCGGCGUGCCUAACACAUGCAAGUGGAGCGACGAACCAGGGCUUGCCCUGGGGCUAAGCCGCGAACGGGUGAGUAACACGUGGGUUACCUGCCUCGAUGACCGGGACAACCCGAGGCAACUCGGGCUAAUACCGGAUGUGCCCGCAAGGGGAAAGGAAGCUUCGGCCUCCGCAUCGAGAUGGGCCCGCGGCCCAUUAGCUUGUUGGUGAGGUAACGGCUCACCAAGGCUGCGAUGGGUAGCUGGUCUGAGAGGACGAUCAGCCACACUGGGACUGAGACACGGCCCAGACUCCUACGGGAGGCAGUAGUGGGGAAUCUUGCGCAAGGCGCGAAAGCGUGACGCAGCAACGCCGCGUGGGGGAAGAAGGCUUUCGGGUUGUAAACCCCUUUCAGUUGGGACGAAGCUUCGCCGAUGAAUAGUCGGUCGGAGUGACGGUACCUUCACAAGAAGCACCGGCUAACUACGUGCCAGCCGCCGCCGUAA